This 235-nucleotide ribosomal RNA is filed under the name uncultured bacterium. RNAcentral describes it as "partial 16S ribosomal RNA". It matches the Rfam family "Bacterial small subunit ribosomal RNA", at positions 104 to 339 of the family's 1533-position model. The record is from RNAcentral.
GGGUGCGUAACGCGUAUGCAAUCUACCUUAUACAGGGGAAUAGCCCAGGGAAACUUGGAUUAAUGCCCCAUAGUAUUGUAGACUGGCAUCAGUUUAUAAUUAAAGAUUUAUCGGUAUAAGAUGAGCAUGCGUCCCAUUAGUUAGUUGGUAAGGUAACGGCUUACCAAGACAGCGAUGGGUAGGGGCCCUGAGAGGGCGACCGGCCACACUGGGACUGAGACACGGCCCAGACUCC